UGUUAUGGCCUUUCAGAAUCAAACUUAUAUUUUAUUUUUUUUGGUUAUAUAGAUUUGAUUUUUUUUUUUUUGCUUUAGCUAUUAUAAUCCAAAUUUGCUUUUUUUUUGUGAUGACUUUUCAUAUUGACACUGGUUGAAUAAAAAUUUAAUUAUUUUUUAUUUCACAUGAUGCAAGUUUACCUUUUGUUUUGCAGUAAUUAGAUUCAUUGUGAAGAUGUGUGCACUGGGCUGGAACAUUUCCAGAGAAAGCUGGACUAGCCAUGCAUCAGCAUACUAGCCAAGAUUGAUACCUCUCCACAAAUCAACAAAGACAUCAAUGAAGCUUUGUUAAAGCUAGUGACAAUUUACAUGUUUUCUUAUGUGGCUUAAUUAUAAUAAUGUCAAGAAAGCUAAUUAAAUAAGAACUAUACAUUU
Biomphalaria glabrata is the source of this 414-nucleotide long non-coding RNA. RefSeq lists it as uncharacterized. The record is from RefSeq and is a predicted model, not a curated record. The transcript has 2 exons. Lineage: Eukaryota; Metazoa; Mollusca; Gastropoda; Planorbidae.